This 253-nucleotide ribosomal RNA is filed under the name uncultured bacterium. Its description in RNAcentral is "partial 16S ribosomal RNA". It matches the Rfam family "Bacterial small subunit ribosomal RNA", at positions 524 to 776 of the family's 1533-position model. The record is from RNAcentral.
UACGGAGGGGGCAAGCGUUAUUCGGAUUCAUUGGGCGUAAAGGGCGCGUAGGCGGCCUGGCAAGUCAGAGGAGAAAGCCCUCGGCUCAACCGGGGAACUGCCUCUGAAACUGCCUAGCUCGAGGCCGGGAGAGGGUGGCGGAAUUCCUGGUGUAGCGGUGAAAUGCGUAGAUAUCAGGAGGAACACCCGUGGCGAAGGCGGCCACCUGGACCGGUUCUGACGCUGAGGCGCGAAAGCGUGGGGAGCAAACAGG